Long non-coding RNA from Cryptomeria japonica (Japanese cedar), 1156 nucleotides. RefSeq lists it as uncharacterized. The transcript is spliced from 2 exons. NCBI's taxonomy places the organism in Eukaryota, Viridiplantae, Streptophyta, Pinopsida, Cupressales, Cupressaceae. The record is from RefSeq and is a predicted model, not a curated record.
GCGUGUUCGCUUUCUUCUUAACAAAUUUAUGGAUACAGGAAAUGCAUCCGUAACAAUUUAAUAGUUAAAAGAAAGAAUUAGAAAUUCUACAGGCCAAGAAACUUGGCAAGGUGAAACUGUUUGGCAUUAAAAAUUAUAGAAAAUUCGAUUUCUAAAACCCACAGAAUAGGAAUUAAUAACAAAAAGAAAAUUGAACAUUAAUCUCCUGGAUGCAGCCGCGUGGAAUAACUUUUGCAGUCUCUUUCCUUUUAAAAAAAUGUCCGGAUAGAGAUAAUGUAUCCGUAAUAAUCUAAAAGUUGAAAAAGAAUGAAGAGUUCAUCUGAUGAUCUGAGUAAAUGGGGUCAAAGGAGAAGGAAGUAAAAAAUCGGCUUCGAGGAUGUGCAGAAUUGUAGACGAGAGUCUGUUAACUCUGAAUCAGACCUUCAUUGCCUUAUUGCAGGGAAAGUUUCUUCAGUAAGCUUUACAUUACCAGUAAAUCGGUAACAACAAAUUGGUACACUGUUUAAGAAUGGCUGUUCAUAACGGUUCAUUGCUGAGGAAACGGACUAUUUUACCCUUCAUUUGGGAGGAAUCUGUUGGCAGUUUGUUAAUUUACAAUGAUUUUCUGGGUUAUACUUGUGUAGUUUUUACCUAAACAAGCUACAAUUCAACAUACCUCUGCAGUCUAACCUAGAGUAUCAUACCAGAAGAUAAUCGAAAAUUGGAAUGAUCUUCUGGGGCUGACUCUGUAUGUUGUUGAAACCUAUUUAACCGACAAUUUAAACAGUUUAAAAAACCUAGCCAAAAAUAUUAUUUUAAACUUUAUCAUAACUGUAAUAAUGUUCUUGGUUAAAUUGUGUGGCUUUUUUUGUUAAAAUUUAAAGAACCUCUGCAUUUUAUCCCAGAAAAUUAUAUCAACUUUUAUCAUUAGCCUAAAAUAAGAGACCCUCUAACAUAGUUGCAACUGUUCUUGGGGUUAGACUAUGUGGGUUGUUUUUAACAGCAUUGCAAAAUUGAUCGUUAUUACAAUUGAUAGGCCCUUCCAACACAAUAGCAAUGAUCUUCUGGUUACAAUACAUAGAUGCAAUGGUCUUCUGAUAAGAUUGCAUAGGUUGUUUAGGCAAUGGUUUCUUAGAACCUAAACCACCUAAGCAGUUAACCCAAAACAUCAUACCAA